RNAcentral lists this ribosomal RNA (1070 nucleotides) under uncultured crenarchaeote. RNAcentral describes it as "bacterial SSU rRNA". It matches the Rfam family "Archaeal small subunit ribosomal RNA", at positions 214 to 1288 of the family's 1478-position model. Lineage: Archaea; Thermoproteati; Thermoproteota. The record is from RNAcentral.
AUCGUGGUCGAUUAUGGUAGUAGGCGAGGUAAUGGCUCACCAAGCCGAUAAUCGAUAGGGGCCGUGAGAGCGGGAGCCCCGAGAUGGGUACUGAGACAACGACCCAGGCCUUACGAGGCGCAGCAGGCGCGAAACCUCCGCAAUACACGAAAGUGUGACGGGGUUACCCAAAGUGUCCAACAUUGGACUGUGGUAGGUGAGUAAUGUCCCCUACUAGAAAGGAGAGGGCAAGGCUGGUGCCAGCCGCCGCGGUAAAACCAGCUCUUCAAGUGGUCGGGAUAAUUAUUGGGCUUAAAGUGUCCGUAGCCGGAUUAGUAAGUUCCUGGUAAAAUCAGGUAGCUUCACUAUCUGCAUGCUAGGAAUACUACUAUUCUAGAGGGCGGGAGAGGUCUGAGGUACUACAGGGGUACGGGUGAAAUCUUAUAAUCCUUGUAGGACCACCAGUGGCGAAGGCGUCAGACUGGAACGCGCCUGACGGUGAGGGACGAAAGCCAGGGGAGCGAACCGGAUUAGAUACCCGGGUAGUCCUGGCCGUAAACGAUGCAUACUGGGUGAUGGCACGGCCAUGAGCCGUGUCAGUGCCGUAGGGAAACCGUUAAGUGUGCCGCCUGGGAAGUACGGUCGCAAGGCUAAAACUUAAAGGAAUUGGCGGGGGAGCACCACAAGGGGUGAAGCCUGCGGUUUAAUUGGACUCAACGCCGGGAAACUUACCAGGGGAGACAGUAGAAUGCAGGUCAGGUUGACGACCUUACCUAACGAGCUGAGAGGAGGUGCAUGGCCGUCGCCAGUUCGUGCUGUGAGGUAUCCUGUUAAGUCAGGCAACGAACGAGAUCCGCACCUUUAUUUGCCAGCAAGAAGCUACGGCUUCGUUGGGAACACUAAAGGGACCGCCGUCGUUAAGACGGAGGAAGGAGCGGGCAAAGGCAGGUCAGUAUGCCCCGAAACCCCUGGGCUACACGCGGGCUGCAAUGGUAUGAACAACGGGCUGUGACUCCGAAAGGAGAAACCAAUCCCGAAAUCAUAUCUCAGUUGGGAUUGUUGGCUGUAACCCGCUGACAUGAACGUGGAAU